This 616-nucleotide ribosomal RNA is filed under the name uncultured bacterium. RNAcentral describes it as "bacterial SSU rRNA". It matches the Rfam family "Bacterial small subunit ribosomal RNA", at positions 338 to 944 of the family's 1533-position model. The record is from RNAcentral.
CCUACGGGAGGCAGCAGUAGGGAAUCUUCCGCAAUGGACGAAAGUCUGACGGAGCAACGCCGCGUGAACGAUGAAGGCCUUCGGGUCGUAAAGUUCUGUUGUUAGGGAAGAACAAGUGCUAGUUGAAUAAGCUGGCACCUUGACGGUACCUAACCAGAAGGCCACGGCUAACUACGUGCCAGCAGCCGCGGUAAUACGUAGGUGGCAAGCGUUGUCCGGAAUUAUUGGGCGUAAAGCGCGCGCAGGCGGUUUCUUAAGUCUGAUGUGAAAGCCCCCGGCUCAACCGGGGAGGGUCAUUGGAAACUGGGAAACUUGAGUGCAGAAGAGGAAAGUGGAAUUCCAAGUGUAGCGGUGAAAUGCGUAGAGAUUUGGAGGAACACCAGUGGCGAAGGCGACUUUCUGGUCUGUAACUGACGCUGAGGCGCGAAAGCGUGGGGAGCAAACAGGAUUAGAUACCCUGGUAGUCCACGCUGUAAACGAUGAGUGCUAAGUGUUAGAGGGUUUCCGCCCUUUAGUGCUGAAGUUAACGCAUUAAGCACUCCGCCUGGGGAGUACGGUCGCAAGACUGAAACUUANANAGUAGUGAGAGAGAGACGAGCGACGACGACGAGAGGAG